This is a long non-coding RNA of Brachypodium distachyon (stiff brome), 2214 nucleotides long. RefSeq lists it as uncharacterized. NCBI's taxonomy places the organism in Eukaryota, Viridiplantae, Streptophyta, Magnoliopsida, Poales, Poaceae. The record is from RefSeq and is a predicted model, not a curated record. The transcript has 4 exons.
CCUCUUGGGGUUCCGUCUGGCGUCUCUGUUCCUCUGUUUCCUCUCUUUUUUCGCCUUCUUUCGGUGAGGUCCGCCCAUUGCCGAAUGCCGAUCUGCUGCUGCUCGCCGUUGUUGCUCCUUCGCGUAAGCUGCCUUUGCCCUUGCCGGCGGUUGUGCUGUGGCCUGUGGGUCGCUGCUCCUACUGUUCCUCUUCUUCGAUUCGUACGGUUCUGAGCAUCAUGGGUUCGUUCCCCUCUUCAUCUUCUGUUGCACGGGUGUGUUCUUCUGCGAUUUGGUGUUCGUUCGGCGUGGCCGCCUUCCUCUGUCCGUGUCUAUCUCGCCGUUGAUUGCUGGUGCUCUCUUUGACGGUUCGUGAAUUGAGGCGGCCACGGGCCGGCGGAUUGAGGUCGUGGGGGACUCACUGGCGGAGAACCUGGUCGUUGCGCGUUGAUGUGCGUGCUCCGUUCGUCCGACGGCGGCGCGCUGAGGUGCGGCCGGAGGUAAUUAAACUACGAGCAGCACAAGUCCAUGUGCUACAGCCUGCACGUUACAUGUCCUCCCUUUAUUUCAGGUGUGUCUACAUCUGUUUUGGUGCCUUCCUUCCAUUUGAUUUCGGUGGUUUCAAAACUUGUUAAUUGGAUUCUCGUGAUAGUUACCACUCUCGAGAUUUCUCGAAUGCAAUAUGUCUUGGGGAUGGCCUCUCAUAAAAAAAUAGCAUGAAGGAUGACCCCAGUCAUGGGGAGAUAGAUGGUUGAAAUUCCAGGCCCUUUUAUUGUCUCAGCCCACAAGGUUGAUCGAUUAUUAGAGAAACAUGAGCGUCGACACAUCUGGCAAGUAGUGCGAAAAUCACGCAUGGUUCCAGAAAGGUAAUUUGGUUUCAAAAUUAAAUACAUAUUUCAUGUGGAUGAUUCUGUCAAACCUAACAUAUAUACACUACAUUUUCUCUCUUUUUUAUUCAUGUUCUUCGAGAUCUUGAUUGUGGAUCUGAUAUUUAUUGAAAUUUUCAAUAAAUGGUACCACACAAGUUACACGAGUAUUCUGUUCUAUCAAAAUGUCAUAUACCAAUUAAUUAAUCUCACUGUAGUCUUCCUAGACUCUGAACUAACCUGAAAGAAAUACCGCCUAUUGAUAUACAAGAUAACAAGAAAUGUCCAGAACGGCUGCUGUAACAGAUACCUCGAGUGUUUUUCUCUUAACCUGAUACUCAGGUUUUACUCUUGACUGCAUACAAAUCACUAGCAGCUAUGGAUGGACAACCCUAAUUAUGUUAAUGACGCAAUUCAGGAAAUCAAUCCAUACAAAUAUGCAGCAAAAUGUGAACUUUAAUGCAAUUGUGUUGAGUACACUUGCAACCUUAUAAUAGAUGCAUAAAUCCAGCAAAGAUAAGAGGCUUGCUGUCAACUGUUCUGGAGCCAUUCUAGAUUUCUACUCCUGAGAUUUUACCAUAAAUCCAGCAAAGAUAAGAGGCUACGGCCUACGAGUAUACUGUAUAUCCAAAUUUACCCAAGGAGCGCAUAAAGGUUAUACGCAAGUCUACUGGCGCGUAGAGCUGACCGGAGAAAGAAGCGGCGCAGCGCCAGCCUGAAACGCUUUGACCGGACAGCUGCAUGCUGGCCGCUGGGACCCGUGCAUGUGACGCGUCCCACCUUGAUCUAUCCAAAGCGACCAAACAGAAACCACCUCGAUCAGGCAAGGGGCCCAUCCGCCUAUAUUUCAGACGACCAAGCCUCUACAAACAGAACAUCGAUCUCAUAAUGAGAUUGCAAGACACGAGCUGUUGGUCUGGUCCUCAUGGCGUGGCAGCUGCAGCCUGCAGCUGAUGGCGGCAGAGGCAGAGACGACCGCGACCGCGUGCUUUCACAGGAAUGGCUCAAACACUAGGGUCUAUUUCGUGUGGUCGUUGAUGGACUUGUAUGAACUACUCAGUGUCCGGGACACCUAUGGACUCUAUUACGUGGAUUUUGCUGACAAGGAUAUGAAGAGGUAUCCAAGGAGCUCUGCGAUCUGGUACACAGAUUUUCUGAAAGGCACAAGAAACUCGAGGCGUCCGGAGAGAUUUUCCCGGUCACUAGCUGUCGAUGUUAGUGUUUAGGCUACAUUCAAGUGUUAUUACAAAAUUUAAGGCCUCUUUUGGAACGUGGGUUUCGUUUUCUCUGAUUCCUGCGGGAGUCAACUGAUUCUUGUGAAUUUUCUAUACCAAAUUCCUCCGUUCAUAGGUUUCCUUGUCUUAGGCCA